RNAcentral lists this ribosomal RNA (468 nucleotides) under uncultured bacterium. RNAcentral's name for it is "partial 16S ribosomal RNA". It matches the Rfam family "Bacterial small subunit ribosomal RNA", at positions 28 to 507 of the family's 1533-position model. The record is from RNAcentral.
GACGAACGCUGGCGGCGUGCUUAACACAUGCAAGUCGAACGGAAAGGCCCUGCUUUUGUGGGGUGCUCGAGUGGCGAACGGGUGAGUAACACGUGAGUAACCUGCCCUUGACUUUGGGAUAACUUCAGGAAACUGGGGCUAAUACCGGAUAGGAGCUCCUGCUGCAUGGUGGGGGUUGGAAAGUUUCGGCGGUUGGGGAUGGACUCGCGGCUUAUCAGCUUGUUGGUGGGGUAGUGGCUUACCAAGGCUUUGACGGGUAGCCGGCCUGAGAGGGUGACCGGCCACAUUGGGACUGAGAGACGGCCCAGACUCCUACGGGAGGCAGCAGGGGGGAGCAUUGCACAAUGGGCGGAAGCCUGAGGCAGCAACGCCGCGUGCGGGAUGACGGCCUUCGGGUUGUAAACCGCUGUCGCCUGUGACGAAGCGUGAGUGACGGUAAUGGGUAAAGAAGCACCGGCUAACUACGUG